RNAcentral lists this ribosomal RNA (406 nucleotides) under uncultured bacterium. RNAcentral describes it as "partial 16S ribosomal RNA". It matches the Rfam family "Bacterial small subunit ribosomal RNA", at positions 30 to 526 of the family's 1533-position model. The record is from RNAcentral.
AUUGAACGCUGGCGGCAGGCCUAACACAUGCAAGUCGAACGAGUGGCGGACGGGUGAGUAAUGUCUGGGAAUCUGCCCGAUGGAGGGGGAUAACUACUGGAAACGGUAGCUAAUACCGCAUACCAUCGGAUGUACCCAGAUGGGAUUAGCUAGUAGGUGGGGUAACGGCUAACCUAGGAGACGAUCCCUAGCUGGUCUGAGAGGAUGACGAGCCACACGGGGACUGAGACACGGUCCAGACUCCUACGUGAGGCAGCAGUUGGGAAUAUUGCACAAUGGGCGCAAGCCUGAUGCAGCCAGGCCGCGUGUAUGAAGAAGGCCUUCGGGUUGUAAAGUACUUGCAGUGGGGAGGCGUUACCCGAAGAAGAAGCACCGGCUAACUCCGUGCCAGCAGCCGCGGUAAUUC